GACGAAGGGGGCUAGCGUUGUUCGGAAUUACUGGGCGUAAAGCGCGUGUAGGCGGUUAUCCAAGUCGGGUGUGAAAGCCCCCGGCUCAACUGGGGAGGGUCACUCGAUACUGAUCGACUUGAAGGCAGGAGAGGGAAGCGGAAUUCCCGGUGUAGUGGUGAAAUGCGUAGAUAUCGGGAGGAACACCAGUGGCGAAGGCGGCUUCCUGGCCUGUUCUUGACGCUGAGGCGCGAAAGCUAGGGGAGCAAACGGG
RNAcentral lists this ribosomal RNA (253 nucleotides) under uncultured bacterium. Its description in RNAcentral is "partial 16S ribosomal RNA". It matches the Rfam family "Bacterial small subunit ribosomal RNA", at positions 524 to 776 of the family's 1533-position model. The record is from RNAcentral.